GAGCACAAACAUAUUCCAAUCUCUACUUUUUCUCUAAAAAAAACUUUCUCCUCCUCUUCUCUUCCUAAAUCUCAUAUCUUGAGUAUAUAUUAGUUCUGUGAUAUUUCGGAUUCUGCUCAGCAUAAAUGUUCUGUCCUGUUCGUUAUUUUGCUCCUGGGUGCUAUCUUUUAUGUGGGAGCCAGUACCUCUCCAAUUAUAGUGUUUGUCAUCUCUGUUUGCAUUCUCAGCUUCCUUGUUUCCAUUUAUCUUACAAAGUGGGUGCUCGCAAAAGAUGAGGGACCUCCUGAAAUGGUUCAGGUAAAUCUAUUUCCUAUAAUUAGUGCAAUCUCUAACUUGUUGUCCAUCUCCUCUAAGCAUUCUUAAAAUCAGCAAUUUGGUUUUAGGAGAUCGAUAUACAAUAGGGGUUUUCUCAAUAAUCUACUAUUUCUCUGUGGUUGAAAGACGAGUUUAUUGCUUUUGAGUCCUAUGAAAGAGGAUCAGGUUGAUUACCGUUGUCAAAAUCAUCCAUACUACGAAUUCCUUUUAAAGUUUGGGUGGUUCUCAUCUUACUACUCAGUUAUGUGGAAUUCAGCUAGGUCCUAAACACAAAUUCUAAGAUGGUAUUUAAACCCAAUAUUGGACCACCUGCAUUUGUUUGUGCUCUAGACAUAUAUUCCUAAGCAUAAGGGUGUAUGGUCAUUGGGCUACCUACAUAUGUCCGUGCUACAGAUGUCCAGUGUUGGCACCAAAGGGUGUGUUGAGAUCUCACUCUGGCCCGAGAUAUGACCAAUGUGAGCCCAAAUUCUAAGAUCCGAGUUACAUAUGAGAGGUUGAGAUGAAAUGAUAUUGCCACGUCGUUUGUACCCUUUCAUACUGGUGGGGAUAUUUUACCGGAAGUUUAUAUUGUAUCAGUCUACCCAGUUUGUGAUUCUUGUUGAAAAAUAUACUCCUCGGGGAAAGCAUUUGUAUGUGUUUGUGUGUGAAAUAGCACUUUUUGGUGACUAUUGUUUCACUUUUAUAAGGUUAGAUUGUUAAUUUGAUUUGGAUUGGAGGGCAUGACGUAGAGUAGCACGUAUAGAGUAGUAAUGAUUAAAGCUUGCCUAUUUUCUCUCUUUUUGUUGAACCAGUUUUUUCAAUUGACAAAAGUCUGAGUGUUUAAGUUAUUAUACAUCUUAGUGCCUUUUAUGAUGAUUGAUUGACAGUUGGAUCGCAUCACUAUGAACCCUUGUUUUCUUGUCCUGAGCUUAUCAUAUUGCUUUCUAGAUAGCAGAUGCUAUACGAGAUGGAGCUGAAGGAUUUUUCAAGACCCAGUAUGGUAGUGUAUCGAUGGCCAUAUUGCUUGCUGUUGUUAUUCUAUGCAUAUAUUUGUUUGGUGGCAGUACAACUCCUCAACAGGAAUCUUCUGGCCUGGGGAGGUAAUGUCAUAAAGUAUUUAUGCUGUGAAUACUUUUAGUACUGUUUACUUGUUCUUAUCUGUCAUAGUCAUCCUAUUUCAGGUCAACUUCUGCAUACAUCAUUGUAGCUUCUUUCCUUUUAGGUGCUCUUUGUUCGGGUAUUGCUGGAUAUGCAGGGAUGUGGGUGUCAGUUCGUGCCAAUGUCAGAGUUUCUAGUGCUGCAAGAGAAGCAUUGCAGGUUAAACCAUCAUUACUUCAUUAUCAGUUUCUGUGUAAACUAUGAACAGUUCACUAUUCGUGUUUUAACUUGAAGGAAUUUGUACAGGUAGCUACUCGUGCAGGUGGUUUAUCUGCCCUCAUUGUUGUCGGUAUGGCUGCAAUUGGUAUAGCAGUCCUUUAUGCCACAUUUUAUGUUUGGUUAGGAGUGGACUCACCUGGUUCAAUGAAGGUUACUGAUUGUAAGUGUAGACUUCUCCCCUAACCUGUCAUCAUAGAAAAUUUUAUAAAAUUUGAAAUUUCAACAUUGUUAUUAUUCAACAUACAUAGUGCUCUUUAUGUUUCAUCAAUAUCUUUUCAAGCUAGUUUUCUAUGUUUAUAAUUUGGGGAGUUUUUAUGUUCAUUUGUAAACUGAAAAUAAAAAAGAGAGCCAAGUGGUGAACUUUGGGAGGUUUGAUUGAGGUCAUAAAUGGUUCCUUAUAUAAUUUCUCAUUAAAUGUUCCCACUUGACUUAAAUUGAGCCAACGGCCAAUAAUUAAAUUGACUGAAAUAAAUUUUAGCUUAUAUUCCAACAAUUAUUAAGGUUUAUUGAUAGUCUGUCUAACUAUGGGAUGAUUCAAUCUUUUUUCCAUUAUCUCACCUAUUCUCUCUCUAAUUGUGUUUAUUUUUGAACAUUUUUGUUUUCCCUCUCAGUACCUCUACUUCUAGUUGGAUAUGGAUUUGGUGCCUCUGUUGCUCUAUUUGCUCAGUUAGGUGGUGGAAUAUACACGAAAGCAGCUGAUGUUGGAGUAGACCUAGUUGGAAAAGUAGAACAGGGAAUACCUGAAGAUGACCCUAGAAAUCCUGCUGUUAUUAUUACUGAUCUGGUAAUUGUUUUUUUGUUUUUGUUUAAUUUGUUUGGAUGAGUCUAUGCAUUAAAAUUUAUUGGUUGCUUAAUUUGGUUAAUACUUGUUCAGGACGAAGUGGAAGCUGAUGUGAGGAGGUUGAGGCUGGAGUUAAAGCAAACAAUGGAAAUGUACAGUAGUGCAUGCAAAGAGGCCCUAACAGCGAAGCAGAAGGUAAGUGCAUACGGUAAUGGUAAUAUUUAGAUUAGGGGAGGGUGGAAAUGAAAAGGAAACAGAGAGAAUAACGCUGUAUGGUACAGUUACUGGAACUGCACAACCGGAGAAUUAAGGAAGAAAAGAAACUAGAUUUUGUUGCUUUAGUUGCUCAGUUGGGUUGUGGAAUAUACACAAAAGCAGCUGAUGUUGGAGUAGACCAUGUUGGAAAAGUAGAUCAGGGAAUACCCUAGAAAUCCUGCUGUUAUUGCUGAUCUGGUAAUUGUUUUUGUUUUCGUUUAAUUUGUUUCGAUGAGUCUAUUAUGUAUGCAUUAAAAUUUGUUGGUUGUUUAAUUUGGUUAAUUGUUCAGGACGAAGUGGAAGCUGAUGUGAGGAGGUUGAGGCUAGAGUUAAAGCAAACAAUGGAAAUGUACAGUAAUGCAUGCAAAGAGGCCCUAACAGCGAAGCAUAUGCUAAGUGCAUACGGUAAUGAUGUUAUUUAGAUCAGGGGAGGGUGGAGUGAAAAGGAAAUAGAGAGAAGAACAUUAGUUAAAUAAGAAAUUACGCCUUUCUGUAUCAUCUUUUCGAUUUCACAACCUCAUGUCUCAAGGUUAUGAAAAACACCCAAACUUGGUUUGGUUUUAAAUAUGUAAUUUAAGUAAAGAAUGUUAACUUAUCAUUAAAAAACUAAGGUACACAACUCAAUUUAAUCCUUCUCUCUCUUUUUUCCUAUUUUUGUCAUAAUUCCUGUUUUGAACUUACCUUCUUUUUUCUGAUGGUUUAUAAAUUCUUUAGAGUAAGUUGUUAUUUCUUUAAUUUUUAUUACUUUUUAUUUUAUUAUUUUGGUUGAUUUAGUGAUAUUUCAUUAUGUUCCAGAAGCCUUGGGUGGAUUUUCAAGUCCUUUUUACUUAUGGAUGCUCAGGUUUUUAGAGAUAGAGUUUUGAAAUGAACGAGAUAGGUUUUUAUUUUUCUUUUGAAUGAUGUUUGUAUAUUAAUGCUUGACAGUUUGUCUUUCUUGUGUAGUUUAUAUUUCAUAAAUGAGCAGAAGACAUUUCCAGCUCAAGAGACAAUCUGAGGAAGUGUUUAUUGCAGAUUAUAUUUCGAUAUAUAUUUUCUUAUAUAAAACUUUCUUUUGUAAACUCUUUGCUGGAUAUAUAUGUGUGUAAAUAAUGAAAUACAAUUUAUAUUUUAUAUCAAUUUAUAAAUUGUUUUUAUAUCAAUUUAGUAGUAUUUAUUUAUAUUCUUAGUAGUAUUUAUAAAUUGUAAAUAAUUGAUUUAUCAAAAUAAAGUUAUCUAACAGAAAACAUUUAUAACAAAUUAUAAACAUAAAAUUUUCAGUCUAAACAAAGGAUGCUUUAGGUUCUAUUGGUGUUUGAAACAAUUUUGUCUUCUCAAUGUUAUUAUAUCUCUAGAGUUGAAUCACUUGCUGUCGUUACUCUUCAGUUUUCUAUUUAAUCAAUUUAAUUAAUCAUUUUUUUACAACCUAACUAAAUUGUAUAUUUAACAGAAAAAGUUCAUUUUUUUUUACAACAUAACAUUUACCUUUUUCUUUUUGUGAUCCAAAACAUUUUUUUUGGCUCGAGACUUUUUUCAUACACUAAGAAGACGUCAAAAAGAAAAUGUAUUCACAUAAACAAUUAAAUUAACAUAGUUCAAUUUAACCUGGUCAAUCACAUAUAAAACAUGGUCCUCACAAAGUGUAAAAAUCCAAUAAAUAACAUAGUUUUCUUUUGGUAAAAUACUUUUUUUUUCUCCAGUUUUGGUCGGUAAUAUUCGAAAUGCUUUCCAUUUGUUUUUUCUGAUCACUUUAGUUCUAAAAAACGUAAUUUGUAUUUAAUUUAGUCAUUUUUAUUUGUAUUCAAUUUAGUCAUUUUUCUGUUCACGUAAUUUAUGUUCAAUUUAAUCCUUGUUUGGUUCACGGAGUUUGUAAAAAAAACUAAAUUAAACAAAAAUUACGUAAAAAGAACUAAAUUGAACACAAAUUACGUUCUUUAUCACAUUGAACAAAAAAGUAAAAUGGAGACCAUUCCGAAUAUUCUAAACCAAAACUGGGACAAAAAAGGUAUUAUACCUUUCCUUUUUACAAAACAAUUUUAUUUUUUUUAAAAAGUUACAACAAAACCUAACAUAUUAUAGUACCAUAUAAAUUUCUCCAAAUAAUUAAUUUUAAGCUUAUUACAUAUUCUGCAAAUAUUUUUUCUCCAGAUAAUUUUCCUUUAAAACUACGUGUAUUUUUUCUGUUAACCAUGUUUAAAUAUUUUUUUUUUCUACUUGUCUAUAUAUACUUGACAUAAACAUUAAGGUGUCACUAGUGCAAAAACAACGUAUCGUGUUUAAUGUCGAAUCACUCAGCCAACAUUAAAAAUGUUUAAAAAUGAUUGGUGACAUUUUUGUAAAUAAAUACAAUUAUUAAACGUAGUUUAGAAUUGUAAUUCGACGUAAAAGAUAUAAAACGUCCGAGCGUUAAAAUUUAUUGAAUUAAAAAAAAUUGAGCGCUGAUAAUGACAUAUUCUGCUAUGAUUUCAGUAGUGAAUUGAGAGAAAAUGUCAACUCUUUCUUAGCUUUAUACCUUCCUUAUGCCUCAAUUUGUUAAGUUUCUAAGUAGCUACAUCUUUAGUUGAAUUCAUUUAAAUUGCUCCACUAAUCCCCACUUUUUGGUUGUUAGAUCAUGUACAUGAAGCUUGUUGGCCAAACCGACGAAUGGAAGAACCACAGAAGCAAGAAUGAUUGUAAAAGAGGAAAUUUUGAGCAAAGAUUGAUGCUGCCGCUGGGGUGCAGCUGGGGUGUAGCUGAGCCCCAUUCUCCUCUGGAAUGCUGUAGCUGGGGUGCAGCUGAGCGCCCUGCUCUCUGGAAGGCUGUCGCUGGGGUGCAGCUGAGCGCCCUGCUCUCUGGAAGGCUGUCGCUGAGGUGCAGCUGGGGUGCAGCUGAGCGCCCNGCUCUCUGGAAGGCUGNNGCUGAGGUGCAGCUGGGGUGCAGCUGAGCGCCCAGCUCUCUGGAAGGCUGCAGCUGGGGUACAGCUGAGCGGUGGCAAUGCUGAUGUGGAAAAAUUAGGUCUUUUUAGACCUAAAACGCGAGGGGCUUUGGAUCUUUUUGCACCCAGACUCGUUUUCUCUCAUUUUGGAGCUCUUGGAGGCAGCUUGGAGCUGGGGAACACUCCUUCUUCAUCCUUGGGUCUCCUUUCUUCUUCCGUUUCCACCAUUGUUGUAAGCUCAAGCUCUCCAUUCAUGGAGAGCUAGUUUCAUAGUUGUUGGGGGAUUGUUGUAGCCACUGAACUUUUAUGUAAAUCAUUUUGUUUUGAAUGAAAAGAUGCCUCUUUCAUUGAUUGUUAGUGUUUGAUUUCUUCUCUUUAAUGCUUGUUGUGAAAUUGCUACUCAUAACUUGAUUUUAGGGUUGCUUAAUAUUGGAAAAUGUUGGGUAAAUCCGGAUUUGGGUUAAACACCUAAAGGAAAUAGUAUCUAGGGAUAGAACUAGGCCCUUUGGUUGUCUUAAAAUCUCAUUUCUUAAUGCGGAACUAAUUGUUAGGUUUUCCAAGGGAUUGGAGCUUAAUAAGGAAGUCUAGGCUCUUUCUACCAAAGGAUUGGGGUUUGAGUAAUUUAGUAGAUUGACUUUGACAAUUUAAUGAAGAGGAAGUAAUUUUAUUUACAUAAGAGUGAAGUCGGUGAAAGCAUACCCCCAACAAUAUCAUUCCAUUGCAUUUCUUAUCUCUCCAUUUCAAAGUGUUUGAGUGCUCACUUUUAUCAUUUAUGUUUUAUAGUUACUUUAAUUUCACUAAAACUCAAAUCAUGGAAACAUUCUUUAGUCUAGGUUAGUUAUAAAUUAUACGAUUGUCUAGUUUCACGAGUCUCUUGGGAAACGAUUUCCGGUCUUACCGGUUUAUUACUUUAGACGAUUUGGUACACUUGCCAAAGAGUUAACAAGCGCGAGAUUGAAAAUUCAUUCACUUUAUCUUAGCGCGCGAAACCCUUUUCUUUGCUCAAACGUUUUUCGAAUGAAGUUUAACAAUCAUCACAUGUAAUCUUUCUUUCAUUUUAUACAAAUGCAUGUCAAUUAAUCACUUUAGGUAUGAUUUUCGUUUGUUUUCACUAACUAUUCUCGUGUUCUUGUCCUUCAUAGGUGCAUUAUGCUCACUCUCUCAUUGGAGGCAACACUUUAUUCUGAUGAACUCACCUUUUAAAGGUUAGUUUUCGUUUACGUUUUGAAGAACUUAUUUGUUGAUAACUUGUUUGUUAUUUUUUUGUUGAACUUUUUUGUUGUUGUUGUUGUUUGGUUGAACUUGUUUGUUGUUAUUAUUUGAUUAAACUUCUUUGUUGUUUGCUAUUGUUCUUUGAUUGAUUUUAUAUUAUUGUUCAUAGUUCAUGCUUUAUAAAAUACUAAAAACUGAAAUUGGUUGUUUUUCUGCUUUUCAGGUCUCGUAGAGUUGUAAAAAGGAUCACAGUUAAUUGAAAAAAAUGAUUAACGUCUUAUAUUGACAAAAUUCGACAUUAAAUUAACGUCGAAUUUUAUUCGACGUAAAAUUAUCAUCUCCUGAUAUGACGUUGUUCUCGAAUUCGACGUGAACGACAAAAAAUAUUCGAUGUUAACGUUGUUUUUGUACUAGUGUGUUCAUUUCAAAUAAGAAAACAAAAACAAUAAACAUACACAAAUAGAAAAAGGUAAGUUAAUGUACCAACAUUUUAUAAUCUAACACAUUCAUAAUGUACAAGUUUAUCAACUAUGUUUGUUAAAAAUAUCACAAAUUCAUAUGUCCACACAAACAGUUGACACCAACUCAAUUUGGAUACAUGUCUUUAACAUAGGGUUUCAACGUAGGCAUCCACUUGUAGUGGUAUUUAUACUCUACAGAGUCAUAAACAAAGGGGUUGUUACCUUACAACCUACAAGCUUAGUCUCCUUUAUUACCUUACAACCUUUCUACUUAUAUGCUUAAACUUUUAAUAUUAAAAUAUGCGGCUCAUUAUUUAAAAAACCCUAUUAUUUCUAAUACAUUUUUUCUAUACUCUUACACUUACUUUGUAUAUUCUUUUUCAUAAUAUUUCUCUAAAUAUAUUUCAUAAUUUCAUAUAUAAUAAAGUCAAAUCAUGAUAAUAUAUAUAUAUAUAUAUAUAUAUAUAUAUAUAUAUAUAUAUAUAUAUAUAUAUAUAUAUAUAUAUAUGAUUACAUCGUAAUGGUCGAACAAAUAUCUAAUCAAAGAAUAUUACCAUUAAUUAACUAUUUAUAUUUAAAAAUAAAAUUAUAUAUUUUUCUUAAUUUAUUUAACAUCAUUAUUUUUAUUCUUUUGAAAUUCUAAAUAAUAUUUUUCUUAAAAUUGGACGAAAGUAAUAAAUGAACAACAAAUGAAUAGCAUAUAUGCGAAGCGUGAUUGUUUAUAUAAUUCUAAUGGAUAUGAUGAAAUACCACUAAAAAACUGUUUUUUAAUAGAAUAUUUAUUUUUAUUACAGAAACACUUGUGUCUUGACUUUUGAUAAUGAGUUGGUAUUUAUUAAUAUAAGCAUGGCAAAAGUUGAAAAUGCCAAAGGACACUCUUUCCGUUUUCAUUAAGUACAGUUUAAGAAUAUAAAUAUAAAAAAUGAAACAAUUAAUAUUAGUUUUGAAUUUUAAAAAUAAGAUUUAAAUAGAUAUAAAAAUGGCUAAAUUAUGGUAGUGUGUAUUAAUUAUUGAUAUUAAUAAUAUUCAUUAGUAGUUAGAGGGAAGGGAAUCACAUGAGUAAGUAGCCAAUUAGAAUGCAGUUAAGACGAGAUGUCGCAAUGCUAUUGGAUGUCUCUGACAUGUUAAGAAGAGAGUGUCUUAUAUAUGUAAAUUAAGAAAUGUAAGAAUGAAGAGAAGAAGGACGAACGUGAAAUAGAAAUAGUUAGUAUAGUAUUAUAUUUUAUUUGAUUUUGAUUUAAUUUAAUUGAUUCAUUGUGUAGUGUGUUUUCUCUCACAUGCAUUUCUCCUUCAGACAAAGGUAAAGAGGAAGAAAUUCCGCUCGGUGGCUGUGACAGCAAUUGCGACUAAUUCUUCACCACAAACAAUUCGUAAGCAUUAUCAGAUCUGCGAUUUCAAUUUACGAUUUCACUCAGAUCCCAUUCCAGACGACGAUGCGGAUCUAUUAUAAUUCAAUGCCAAAUCGAAUCCAAGCAUAAGCAUUUGGAUGGGAUCUAUAUCCAUCUUUGUUAGUUAGUUAGGCACUGAUGCAGUAUCAUUUGCUGCAUUAUUCAUUCAAAUGUAUGAUAAAUAAUUUUUUGUCAUUAAUUUUGGGCAGUCUCAGCACUAACUCCUGUUGCGGCUGCGGAGAGGAGCGAGAAGGAAGGCGUUGCAGUUUGAUUCCCUAAAGAAGCGUAAAUUGUUGUCUGGGUGUUUGAAAAGACAAUUCAAAAUUCAGCGACCGGGUUCAGGGGCUGACUUGCCCCAACUAGGUGGUGAGUACAACCCUUAUUCUGUAGCGCGGAGGGUGAGUUCCACCCAUUCCAUAAUGAUGGAAAAUGACAUGGAGAGCGGUACUUUGGGUCUGGGGGCUUACCCGGACAAGCCCAGAGUUUUCCCAAACAUGCGCACCAAACCUUACACCCCUCUGGUUCGUUCCUAAACUAUAACAAUAUAACAAAAUGCUCACUUCUUCAUUAUAUAUCUAUCUGUAUAUCUCGAGAUCAUUCCCCUUCCCCUGAACGUUCUUCAACUUAUCAAAUGUCCACUCCUGUUUUACACUUUUCUGUAGAUAUUUCGGAUUCUGCUCAGUAUAAAUGUUCGUGUCCUGUUCGUUAUUUUGCUCCUUGGGCUGGGUGCUAUCUUUUACGUGGGAGCCAGUACCUCUCCAAUUAUAGUGUUUGUCAUCUCUGUUUGCAUUCUCAGCUUCCUUGUUGCCAUUUAUCUUACAAAGUGGGUGCUCGCAAAAGAUGAGGGACCUCCUGAAAUGGUUCAG
Molecule: long non-coding RNA, 9524 nt
Filed under: Vigna radiata
Lineage: Eukaryota; Viridiplantae; Streptophyta; Magnoliopsida; Fabales; Fabaceae
Description: long non-coding RNA (VRAD_LNC016773)
Source: RNAcentral